Molecule: ribosomal RNA, 197 nt
Filed under: uncultured bacterium
Lineage: Bacteria
Description: partial 16S ribosomal RNA
Rfam family: Bacterial small subunit ribosomal RNA
Source: RNAcentral
ACGCUCGACACCUACGGGAGGCAGCAGUGGGGAAUAUUGCACAAUGGGGGAAACCCUGAUGCAGCGACGCCGCGUGGAGGAAGAAGGUCUUCGGAUUGUAAACUCCUGUUGUUGGGGAAAAGAGGAUGGUACCCAACAAGGAAGUGACGGCUAACUACGUGCCAGCAGCCACGGUAAUCUGAGCGGGCUGGCAAGGC